GACGAACGCUGGCGGCGUGCUUAACACAUGCAAGUCGAACGGAAAGGCCCUGCUUUUGUGGGGUGCUCGAGUGGCGAACGGGUGAGUAACACGUGAGUAACCGGCCCUUGACUUUGGGAUAACUUCAGGAAACUGGGGCUAAUACCGGAUAGGAGCUCCUGCUGCAUGGUGGGGGUUGGAAAGUUUCGGCGGUUGGGGAUGGACUCGCGGCUUAUCAGCUUGUUGGUGGGGUAGUGGCUUACCAAGGCUUUGACGGGUAGCCGGCCUGAGAGGGUGACCGGCCACAUUGGGACUGCGAUACGGCCCAGACUGCUACGGGAGGCAGCAGUGGGGAAUAUUGCACAAUGGGAGGAAGCCUGAUGAAGCAACGCCGCGUGCGGGAUGACGGCCUUUGGGUUGUAAACCGCUUUCGCCUGUGACGAAGCGGGAGUGACGGUAAUGGGUAAAGAAGCACCGGCUAACUACGUG
This 468-nucleotide ribosomal RNA is filed under the name uncultured bacterium. RNAcentral describes it as "partial 16S ribosomal RNA". It matches the Rfam family "Bacterial small subunit ribosomal RNA", at positions 28 to 507 of the family's 1533-position model. The record is from RNAcentral.